RNAcentral lists this long non-coding RNA (1765 nucleotides) under Struthio camelus australis. RNAcentral describes it as "lncRNA (ENSSCUG00000013277.1)". The record is from RNAcentral. Lineage: Eukaryota; Metazoa; Chordata; Aves; Struthioniformes; Struthionidae.
CUUAAAGUACAUUCCACACAGUCAAAUUCAGUAGAUUUCGGGUGUUUGAGCCCUCUGAGACAAGAGUGUCAAUAUUUAAGACUAUAGGCUGAUGAAUUAGUAAAAAUCAACAAAAAUAAAUUAUAAUAAAGCAGGGAAAUAUGAGAAAAGUUGGGAUUUUUUAGAGUUUUAGAACGAAUUUUUAAUACUUUAGAACUAGUGGUGCCUCCUUUUAAUUAGACUGCAGUUAUAAUACUAAUUAAAGUUCUUCUAAGAAUGUGCACUGUGCAUAGCUUUCUUUUAUUCUUUAACAGAUGGGACAAUCUCAAAAUGACAAUAGCCUUUAAUAAUCUACUGCUAUACUCCAGACAUAUUCUGCUCAUCUUUCACUCCAAGAUGCAGUGAGAAACCACCGUUAACGGAAUUUGAAGCAAAGACUGGAUGAUGAAAAGGGAACUCUUCUCCCACUGCAAGAAAUAAAAUUGAAGAAAUGAGGGAAAACCAUAGGCUCAUAGGAAAUGAAGAAUUGGCUGAAGGAAUACUCAUUUUUCCUUGUCUCUACAGUAAUCAAGUGAUGGUAAAACCAAGUCUGGAAAAACCUUCCAAGGUACCUUCCAAGUCCUGGGUCUCUUUGCAAGUCGAAUGGUACGUUACUAGCUUCCCUCUGGUGGGUAAAGAAAGAGUUUCAUUUGUGUCUAUGCAGGGCAACUAAAAUACCUGUUGCUCCCUACCUACCUACUGCUAGAUAUUGUCAUCAUUUAUUUUUCAUAUUUCAGUCUCUGGAUUGUGAUGGAAAAGGUAAGGCUUAUACUGAAAUGUAUUUUGCUUUACUGGUGAUAAUGUUAAGGUUUUUGUAAAUGUGAAGUAGGACCUGGGACCUGAAAGGCUAAAUCCAGAGAUGAACCAGGACACAAAUGUGAAGGGUUGUUGAGCCAGGUGCUGAUAAUGGCACACGACCCUGCACUGGUAUUCCAGAAUUUGCUAGAUUUCAAAUACUGACAGGAUUAUAAGUGUUAGUAAAAGAUUUUAUACAGUGCUUUUAUGACCUUCUUGCAGCCUUUCAUACAUUUUUAAAGAUUAUAGUAAUAUUCCUAAAAUCUCACUGGCAGACUUAAUUCUGGAGUAGCCUUACAGAAACGCUCCCUAGAAUUUUAUAAAAAUCUGUUUAGUGUAGGAUUUUUUGAGUCAAUGAAACUUUUACUGUUGGAGAAACCACAUGGCCUCCUCUUGAUAAUGCUCAAGUCAAAAGUUUGAAGUUUGUUUAAAAAGAUGACCAGAGGACUACCGAGGGACUUUUGAGAACAGGAGUAUUCCGCUUGCAAAAACGUAUACAAGUGGUACAGAAAGCCUGUGACCAUGGGGAAUAGCUUUGGAGUUAGCAGGGGGUAACAGAGCAGCAGCUGAAACCUGGUUUGACACCACCGGACGUCGCCCUGCCAGCGUCGCAACCGCUGGCAGAGGUGCACGUAGCCCUGGAGCACCCACAUCUCCUACUCAGGGUCUGCGAGGAGGGUGCCCCAUGCUGCCAGUAGGGGCAACCGGGGCUUGGCGUGGCUUGGCGGGGAUGUAACCGCUUGCGUGGAGGACGAUCGGAAUUUCAUGGAUUCAGUAUAGAAGGGCGUUUAGAAAUCAGUAGACGUUCAUUAACAUUUUGUAAGUGUCUAGAAUUGUGGUUUAUCUAUCUGUUGUAUUGCUGAUAUUGAGGGCAAAUGUAUAAUUCACUGAUUGCUGGUUAAUUAGGUGCUGCUAGUAAAUCAAUAAACCGCUUUGAUCCCGUUCUGAUUCA